Molecule: long non-coding RNA, 5092 nt
Organism: Pecten maximus
Lineage: Eukaryota; Metazoa; Mollusca; Bivalvia; Pectinida; Pectinidae
Exons: 2
Source: RefSeq, a predicted model, not a curated record
UGGGAGACCCAGUCAUGCAUGCGUCACAAUACUAGCUACAAAAUAUACUCUGCAAUUAUUUAUUGUGUACCGGGGACAUGCGCUCGGAACGACAGAAUAAUGGGAAAGCGUAAACCGAAGGUUUCCUCCACGACGACGAUAAAAUGGAUACUACUGACAUUGCUUCUAAUAGUUGUGUGGGGUGUGUACACAACAAAGAUGUUCGAGGUCAUCAUGUCCGGUAAGGUCAUGACCUUACGACUCCUCCGGAAUCAUCUGUCAAGUGCAUGCGCGGAUGACGAACUGACGUCAUUGAUAUACAAUAUUUCGCCAAUGAGAGAUUACGACAAGGGGACUUUUUCCGACAGGGAGCUAGAAAGGAUUAAAGCGUGUAACAGGUCGUCAGAAAUACAAAGGAAACAUGGAUAUGUGAAAACUAAAAUGUUUAAACCUGUUCGCUGGACGUCUCAUUCCUAUCUUGAUAACAGGAGUACCGUUAUAGAACUUGGUGGGUACCUCGGGGACGAUGUCGAGAACCUGUUACUACGAUACCAACCGAGGCGCUACAUAGUAGUGGAACCAGUGUAUGAAUUCUACAGAAAACUUGUGAAGAGAUUUGAGCAUGUUCCGAAUGUUAUCGUCUAUCACUUCGGUAUCGGAGUUAAUACUGUUAGGACGUCAGUAGAAAUGAGUAUGGAUGGUACUUCAAGUUUUGAUACAAAGCAAGGGAGGUAUUGAUAUUAGUCUUGUGAGCGCCCAAACCUUCUUCCUCGGAAUCGGACUGGGCCUGUUCGAUGUGGAUCUACUUACGAUGAACUGUGAAGGCUGUGAAUUCGCUGUGCUUGACUUUCUUCUAGGUACAAAUUUGAUUAAUAAUAUACGGAACAUCCAGUUCCAACCGCAUAAAAUAGAUCGAGUUCCCGAUUCUGCUUAUAAAUAUUGUGAAUAUGAAGAACGAUUAAAACGAACACAUCAGCUUGUAUUUCGACACCCAUUUUGGUGGGAAAGUUGGACUCUGAAACACAGGCCUUUACCCAAUGAACAUAUAUUUGAUGAUAUUACAAACAAUGCUAGCCUUAUGGACGAAAUCCUCAGUUAGUAUAGAUCUUUGUUUACAUGAGCAAUAUACAUAUUUCACAAUCUCUUGAUUCAAAUGUUAUUUUAAUAGGGCAUACACAAGUCUGCGUAGGAUGAACGCUUUCUACAAGUUAUUGUUUUUGUGGGUUUUUUUCAGUGUUUGUUUGCAUUUUUCGUCUGUUUUCUUUCAAAACCUGUCUUAAUUGUAUAACGUCUAAUAUAAAUAGGUUGUUUUUUAUUUCAUAUUUUAUAAAUAUGAAAAUUACACUGUUGUUGGGCCGGAUGGAUUUUGGUUUUGUUUUGUUUUACUUAAUGUCCUAUGUAAUUACGACCUUCCCUGUACGAGAUGUACAUGUAAUUAUUACCUCCCUUGACUGUACGAAAUGUAUGUGUAAUUAUUACCUCCCUUGACUGUACGAGAUGUAUGUGUAAUUACGAUCUCCCUUGACUGUACGAGAUGUAUGUGUAAUUAUUACCUCCCUUGACUGUACGAGAUGUAUAUGUAAUUACGAUCUCCCUUGACUGUACGAGAUGUAUGUGUAAUUACGACCUUCCUUGACUGUACGAGAUGUAUAUGUAAUUACGAUCUCCCUUGACUGUACGAGAUGUAUGUGUAAUUAUGACCUCCCUUGACUGAACGAGAUGUAUGUGUAAUGAUUACCUCCCUUGACUGUACGAGAUGUAUGUGUAAUUAUUACCUUCCUUGACUGUACGAGAUGUAUGUGUAAUUAUGACCUCCCUUGACUGUACGAGAUGUAUAUGUAAUUAUUACCUCCCUUGACUGUACGAGAUGUAUAUGUAAUUAUUACCUCCCUUGACUGUACGAGAUGUAUAUGUAAUUAUUACCUCCCUUGACUGUACGAAAUGUAUGUGUAAUUAUUACCUCCCUUGACUGUACGAGAUGUACAUGUAAUUAUUACCUCCCUUGACUGUACGAGAUGUAUAUGUAAUUAUUACCUCCCUUGACUGUACGAGAUGUAUAUGUAAUUAUGACCUCCCUUGACUGUACGAGAUGUAUGUGUAAUUAUGACCUCCCUUGACUGUACGAGAUGUACAUGUAAUUAUUACCUCCCUUGACUGUACGAGAUGUAUGUGUAAUUACGACCUCCCUUGACUGUACGAGAUGUAUGUGUAAUUACGAUCUCCCUUGACUGUACGAGAUGUAUGUGUAAUUACGAUCUCCCUUGACUGUACGAGAUGUAAUUACGAUCUCCCUUGAUUGUACGAGAUGUAUGUGUAAUUAUUACCUCCCUUGACUGUACGAGAUCUAUGUGUAAUUAUUACCUCCCUUGACUGUACGAGAUGUACAUGUAAUUACGAUCUCCCUUGACUGUACGAGAUGUAUGUGUAAUUAUGACCUCCCUUGACUGUACGAGAUGUAUAUGUAAUUAUUACCUCCCUUGACUGUACGAGAUGUAUAUGUAAUUAUUACCUCCCUUGACUGUACGAAAUGUAUGUGUAAUUAUUACCUCCCUUGACUGUACGAGAUGUACAUGUAAUUAUUACCUCCCUUGACUGUACGAGAUGUAUAUGUAAUUAUUACCUCCCUUGACUGUACGAGAUGUAUAUGUAAUUAUGACCUCCCUUGACUGUACGAGAUGUAUGUGUAAUUAUGACCUCCCUUGACUGUACGAGAUGUACAUGUAAUUAUUACCUCCCUUGACUGUACGAGAUGUAUGUGUAAUUACGACCUCCCUUGACUGUACGAGAUGUAUGUGUAAUUACGAUCUCCCUUGACUGUACGAGAUGUAUGUGUAAUUACGAUCUCCCUUGACUGUACGAGAUGUAAUUACGAUCUCCCUUGAUUGUACGAGAUGUAUGUGUAAUUAUUACCUCCCUUGACUGUACGAGAUCUAUGUGUAAUUAUUACCUCCCUUGACUGUACGAGAUGUACAUGUAAUUACGAUCUCCCUUGACUGUACGAGAUGUAUGUGUAAUUACGACCUCCCUUGACUGUACGAGAUGUAUGUGUAAUUAUUACCUCCCUUGACUGUACGAAAUGUACAUGUAAUUAUUACCUCCCUUGACUGUACGAGAUAUGUGUGUAAUUAUUACCUUCCUUGACUGUACGAGAUGUGUGUGUAAUUAUUACCUCCCUUGACUGUACGAGAUGUAUGUGUAAUUAUUACCUCCCUUGACUAUACGAGAUGUAUAUGUAAUAAUUACCUCCCUUGACUGUACGAGAUGUACAUGUAAUUAUUACCUCCCUUGACUGUACGAGAUGUACAUGUAAUUAUUACCUCCCUUGACUGUACGAGAUGUAUGUGUAAUUACGACCUCCCUUGACUGUACGAGAUGUAUGUGUAAUUAUUACCUCCCUUGACUGUACGAGAUGUAUAUGUAAUUAUUACCUCCCUUGACUGUACGAGAUGUACAUGUAAUUAUUACCUCCCUUGACUGUACGAGAUGUACAUGUAAUUAUUACCUCCCUUGACUGUACGAGAUGUACAUGUAAUUAUUACCUCCCUUGACUGUACGAGAUGUACAUGUAAUUACGAUCUCCCUUGACUGUACGAGAUGUAUGUGUAAUUACGAUCUCCCUUGACUGUACGAGAUGUAUGUGUAAUUACGACCUCCCUUGACUGUACGAGAUGUAUGUGUACUUAUGAUCUCCCUUGACUGUACGAGAUGUAUGUGUAAUUACGACCUCCCUUGACUGUAUGAGAUUAUGUGUAAUUAUUACCUCCCUUGACUGUACGAGAUGUAUAUGUAAUUAUUACCUCCCUUGACUGUACGAGAUGUACAUGCAAUUAUUACCUCCCUUGACUGUACGAGAUGUACAUGUAAUUAUUACCUCCCUUGACUGUACGAGAUGUACAUGUAAUUAUUACCUCCCUUGACUGUACGAGAUGUACAUGUAAUUAUUACCUCCCUUGACUGUACGAGAUGUACAUGAAAUUACGACCUCCCUUGACUGUACGAGAUACUUGUGUAAUUACGAUCUCCCUUGACUGUACGAGAUGUAUGUGUAAUUACGACCUCCCUUGACUGUACGAGAUGUAUGUGUAAUUACGAUCUCCCUUGACUGUACGAGAUGUAUGUGUAAUUACGACCUUCCUUGACUGUACGAGAUGUAUGUGUAAUUACGACCUCCCUUGACUAUACGAGAUGUAUGUGUACUUAUGAUCUCCCUUGACUGUACGAGAUGUAUGUGUAAUUACGACCUCCCUUGACUGUACGAGAUGUAAUUACGAUCUCCCUUGAUUGUACGAGAUGUAUGUGUAAUUAUGACCUCCCUUGACUGUACGAGAUGUAUGUGUAAUUACGACCUCCCUUGACUAUACGAGAUGUAUGUGUACUUAUGAUCUCCCUUGACUGUACGAGAUGUAUGUGUAAUUACGACCUCCCUUGACUGUACGAGAUGCAUGUGUAAUUAUUACCUCCCUUGACUGUACGAGAUGUAUGUGUAAUUAUUACCUCCCUUGACUGUACGAGAUGUAUGUGUAAUUACGACCUCCCUUGACUGUACGAUAUGUUUGUGUAAUUAUGACCUCCCUUGACUGUACGAGAUGUAUAUGUAAUUACGAUCUCCCUUGACUGUACGAGAUGUAUGUGUAAUUACGACCUCCCUUGACUGUACGAGAUCUAUGUGUAAUUAUUACCUCCCUUGGCUGUACGAGAUGUAUAUGUAAUUACGACCUUCCUUGACUGUACGAGAUGUAUGUGUAAUUACGACCUCCCUUGUCUGUACGAGAUGUAUGUGUAAUUACGACCUCCCUUGACUGUACGAGAUGUAUAUGUAAUUACGAUCUCCCUUGACUGAACGUGAUGUAUGUGUAAUUACGAUCUCCCUUGACUGUACGAGAUGUAUGUGUAAUUACGAUCUCCCUUGACUAUACGAGAUGUAUGUGUAAUUAUGACCUCCCUUGACUGUACGAGAUGUAUGUGUAAUUACGAUCUCCCUUGACUGUACGAGAUGUAUGUGCUUUGACAGACUGUGGUUGGAAUGGCUAAUGUGUAUUUUUUGUUAUUUUUGACCCAAAAUAAACUAUCGCGAAAUAUCAAAUGAAUAAAGUUGCGGUUUAGCGCCCCGAAA